UACAGAGGGUGCAAGCGUUGUUCGGAAUUAUUGGGCGUAAAGCGCGUGUAGGCGGCUUAGUAAGUUGAUUGUGAAAGCCCUCGGCUUAACCGAGGAAGUGCGGUCAAAACUGCUGAGCUUGAGUACUGGAGAGGGUGGUAGAAUUCCCCAAGUAGAGGUGAAAUUCUUAGAUAUGGGGAGGAAUACCGGAGGCGAAGGCGGCCACCUGGACAGAAACUGACGCUGAGACGCGAAAGCGUGGGUAGCAAACAGG
RNAcentral lists this ribosomal RNA (253 nucleotides) under uncultured bacterium. RNAcentral describes it as "partial 16S ribosomal RNA". It matches the Rfam family "Bacterial small subunit ribosomal RNA", at positions 524 to 776 of the family's 1533-position model. The record is from RNAcentral.